CCACCCCCAACACACACACACACACACACACACACACACACACACACACACACACACACACACACACACACACACACACACACACACUUUCUCUCGCUCUGUCACAAGAUGCGAUGCUGGUUUGUAUAUCAUUGAUGGAUUGACUGCUCAGAGUAAAUCAGUAAAAAUUAGGGCUGUGAGAAGUCUUUCGCAUGGUACAGGGGUUGCAUGGCCAAAUAUUUGCAAGCUGAGGAUGACAGUUUAAUAUGGGCCUCUGCAUUAACUGACCACCACUCUAAAGGACACAUCCAUCUCAAUAGCAGUUCAAGUCCUUAAAACAUGGGUCAAGAGCUGAUGAAAGUUUCAGCCAUUCAUUGUUCAUGACAGCUUGGCGUUCAGCAAGGUCUUUCUUGAAGGCAAGGUCAAAUACAUUUCAGUACAUUUAUUCUAGGCUAAGAUAAGCAUAUUUAACAUGAAUAUAAAAGGUGAUUUUAAAAUCCUUAACAUUUUCUAGAGUUCAUUUUAUGGAUUUUUUUAAAGGCUUUUUCUUGUAACAAGCAUGUUUACCUUGCUUAGUGAGAGCUCUAGGACAUUUUAGCUGUGUAACAAAUAUAGCUGGAACCACAAUCAGGAUGGAUGUGUGGCAGACUUACUUGCAUGGUUCAAGGAGCAUCUGCAGCUUGUGCAGUUUGUCCCACUCAGCAGCAGUCAGCAUGACUAACUUGUGUUUCUGUUUAGCUAAAGUAGCCCAACUUAACUUGUUUGUUGCUGAUGUAGCUCCUCUGUUUUAACAGGGCUGUGCUUAAAAUGUCCUACAAUUUAGCGACACUUUGUCAAUGCAUCAACAAACCCACUGUCCGAAAGGCAAACAGUAAUGGUCCUCUGAAAUAUGUGCGCGGCCCAGGGGAUGUGAUCAAACGGAAGUGUUCUUGCUGCUGCAACCAUAUUUUGAGCGCUGUCCGUUCUGAUAGUGGUCACUUUUUCUGUAAUGUUCCACUUGUCUGUCUUGUCAGUCCAUUGCAAUCCAUUUAGAUAUUGCAUUUGUUAGUUUUUCUGAGGACGACUUACUUAAUAUGCGGCGAUUUUCAGUCAGCGUGGUUUGGCGGAGCUUGCCUGCAGCAUCUGGGGUUGUGCUAACUGCAGAGCCCGCAAUAUGUUUUGAGUUCAGGUGGUAUUUCAUGCUAAAACUACUUUGAUGAAUUUAUUCAACCUGCUAACCACCACUGUGUCCGCCGACUAGAGAAACAAAGAGCAAAGCAUGACAACCUGUGCUUUGCUCUGUGUGACCAUAUACUGAUUCAAAUCUAUGUAUUGCCUGUUGUUUUAUUAACUGUCUUUGGCUUUGGAUAUGAUUUUGGUUAUAAUAAAA
This is a long non-coding RNA of Tachysurus fulvidraco (yellow catfish), 1348 nucleotides long. RefSeq lists it as uncharacterized. The record is from RefSeq and is a predicted model, not a curated record. NCBI's taxonomy places the organism in Eukaryota, Metazoa, Chordata, Actinopteri, Siluriformes, Bagridae. The transcript is spliced from 3 exons.